AGCGAACGCUGGCGGCAUGCCUAACACAUGCAAGUCGCACGGGGGGGCUUCGGCCUCCCAGUGGCGGACGGGUGAGGAACGCGUAGGGACCUGUCGAGGGGUGGGGGAUAACCGCGGGAAACUGCGGCUAAUACCGCAUGACGCCGCGGCGUGACAGCCGGGGCCAAAGGCGAAAGCCGCCCGCCGAGGGGCCUGCGUCCGAUUAGCUGGUUGGCGGGGUAGCGGCCCACCAAGGCGUCGAUCGGUAGCUGGUCUGAGAGGGUGAUCAGCCACACCGGGACUGAGACACGGCCCGGACUCCUACGGGAGGCAGCAGUGGGGAAUAUUGGACAAUGGGCGCAAGCCUGAUCCAGCAAUGCCGCGUGGGCGAAGAAGGUCUUCGGAUUGUAAAGCCCUUUCGGCGGGGACGAUGGUGACGGUACCCGCAGAAGAAGCCCCGGCUAACUUCGUG
RNAcentral lists this ribosomal RNA (451 nucleotides) under uncultured bacterium. RNAcentral describes it as "partial 16S ribosomal RNA". It matches the Rfam family "Bacterial small subunit ribosomal RNA", at positions 28 to 507 of the family's 1533-position model. The record is from RNAcentral.